AGUGAACGCUGGCGGUAGGCCUAACACAUGCAAGUCGAACGGCAGCACAGUAAGAGCUUGCUCUUACGGGUGGCGAGUGGCGGACGGGUGAGGAAUACAUCGGAAUCUACUUUUUCGUGGGGGAUAACGUAGGGAAACUUACGCUAAUACCGCAUACGACCUACGGGUGAAAGCAGGGGAUCUUCGGACCUUGCGCGAUUGAAUGAGCCGAUGUCGGAUUAGCUAGUUGGCGGGGUAAAGGCCCACCAAGGCGACGAUCCGUAGCUGGUCUGAGAGGAUGAUCCGCCACACUGGAACUGAGACACGGUCCCGACUCCUACGGGAGGCAGCAGUGGGGAAUAUUGGACAAUGGGCGCAAGCCUGAUCCAGCCAUACCGCGUGGGUGAAGAAGGCCUUCGGGUUGUAAAGCCCUUUUGUUGGGAAAGAAAAGCAGCAGGUUAAUACCCCGCUGUUCUGACGGUACCCAAAGAAUAAGCACCGGCUAACUUCGUG
RNAcentral lists this ribosomal RNA (492 nucleotides) under uncultured bacterium. RNAcentral's name for it is "partial 16S ribosomal RNA". It matches the Rfam family "Bacterial small subunit ribosomal RNA", at positions 29 to 507 of the family's 1533-position model. The record is from RNAcentral.